RNAcentral lists this transfer RNA (71 nucleotides) under Thelephora aurantiotincta. RNAcentral's name for it is "tRNA-Phe". It matches the Rfam family "tRNA". Rfam says of the family: Transfer RNA (tRNA) molecules are approximately 80 nucleotides in length. The record is from RNAcentral. Lineage: Eukaryota; Fungi; Basidiomycota; Agaricomycetes; Thelephorales; Thelephoraceae.
GGUCUUUUAGUAUAAUGGUCGUACGACUACCCUUCACGUAGUUAGUGUCAGUUCGAAUCUGAUAAAGACUA